AAAGAUUUUCUCCCCAGCUUUACUUCUUCUCUCACUUAGCGCUGCCUUGCUUUCUUGGGGCUACAACUCCAUCGGCCACCCUGGCUGGGAAUUGCAGUUGCCAGCUUGUUCUAUCUGAAGGAGCAGGUUGGAGAAAGCUGGACUAGGAGAUGAUAUUUUACAAAUAAACUCUGUGCUUUUGGGGGAUACAGUUAUAAUAGCUGUCUGCAGCAAGCUGAGGUCACAUCAGAAUGAUUACAUGUGUGUGGUGACAUCAUAAUGCAUAUCCCACCCUGAAGGACUCACAUCUGACAAAACUAUAUUAUUUCCCCAAGUUUGGACCACAGAUGAUCAUUGCAAUCUAUGGAAGAACACCUCAAAGAAGGUUCUCAAAAGUUUUGCUGUUGUGUCACUACAAACCUACUCAUCUAAUUUCCAGUGUAAGAAAUGUAUCUCACGGAUGACUAAUAACAUUGAGGAUUCCAUGCAGUCAAAGCAAAAAAGAGGGUAGAUCAAAUGAUUCUUUUCUUAAGUCUCAUAUGUUGAUUUCUCUCUCCCUCUUUCAAUUUAACCGAUCUCAAAAUAAAGUGAAAAAAUACUUAAAGUUUAACUUAAAUAUUGAGAAUCAUAAUCAGCUUUUGAGGGGAAACUCAACAAUUCUUGGGUGCAAUAGGUUGCAUAC
Long non-coding RNA from Python bivittatus (Burmese python), 661 nucleotides. RefSeq lists it as uncharacterized. The record is from RefSeq and is a predicted model, not a curated record. Lineage: Eukaryota; Metazoa; Chordata; Lepidosauria; Squamata; Pythonidae.